Molecule: ribosomal RNA, 256 nt
Filed under: uncultured bacterium
Lineage: Bacteria
Description: partial 16S ribosomal RNA
Rfam family: Bacterial small subunit ribosomal RNA
Source: RNAcentral
UAAUACGUAGGGUGCGAGCGUUAAUCGGAAUUACUGGGCGUAAAGCGUGCGCAGGUGGUUUUUUAAGUCAGACGUGAAAUCCCCGGGCUUAACCUGGGAACUACGUUUGAAACUGGAAGACUAGAGUGUGGCAGAGGGGGGUGGAAUUCCUGGUGUAGCAGUGAAAUGCGUAGAGAUCAGGAGGAACACCGAUGGCGAAGGCAGCCCCCUGGGCUAACACUGACGCUCAUGCACGAAAGCGUGGGGAGCAAACAGG